GGAAACUUUUGCUCAACACAGUGGGAUUAUACCUUCACAGAGACUGAAGAUUAGAGUUCUUGGCCAGGGUGUUUGAAAGUCAGUCAACAGUCUAACAAAUUAGCAACAGACCUAUUUUCUCUCCCUAGCAACCAACUUUAUAAACAAUGGCUGGCAGCUCUCUCACACACCACUCAGGCAAGAGCCUUUAUGACAUAUACAAUCAGAACUUUGAAAGAAAACAGAAUUAAAAUCAGCCCCUAUGUAGUGAGUUUAUUUUUAUUGCGCACUAUCUAUUGGCCCAGUAGAAAGCAGUGCAGAUCUCUGAGCACAGGUGCCAUAUGUUGACAGGGUCAGUGAUGUGAAAAUAGGUGGCCUGACCACAAAACUGGCAAGAACCAGUUAAAGAGGAACUUAAUGGCUAAAUGUUGAAGAGGAAAACAACUUGAGUUAAGCAACACAAUCAGAGGUGCCGUUAGGUCAUUUCAGACCCUGGACUUCAUAGAUUUAUGGAGGAUGGCAUCUCUAAAUGAGAAGAGAAGAUACAACCUGGGUGCCACCAUGGAGAAGCCCCUCCCUCAAGUUGUCGGACGAUAGCUCUCAGCAGGCUGUGCUCUAUACAGGAGGCCCUCAUCUGGAGAUCUCAACAAACAGUCAGGAAUGUCAGUCCAAAUGCUUAUGCAGUGUUGAGAGAUGGGCAAAUGAAGAACAGAGGUGAGCUUGGCCCAAGGUCUAGUAUUUAGCUAGUAUUGGUAUUUAGAUGUAUGCUGUCCAGAUGAUAAUAAAGUUUUGGGAUACCAUUAAGACUCCACCUUUCA
Long non-coding RNA from Podarcis raffonei (Aeolian wall lizard), 797 nucleotides. RefSeq lists it as uncharacterized. The transcript is spliced from 4 exons. NCBI's taxonomy places the organism in Eukaryota, Metazoa, Chordata, Lepidosauria, Squamata, Lacertidae. The record is from RefSeq and is a predicted model, not a curated record.